Molecule: long non-coding RNA, 196 nt
Organism: Neopelma chrysocephalum (saffron-crested tyrant-manakin)
Lineage: Eukaryota; Metazoa; Chordata; Aves; Passeriformes; Pipridae
Exons: 3
Source: RefSeq, a predicted model, not a curated record
AGAGAAUGUGUGCAGCCUCAGAGGGCUGGAGCCACCUGCCAAUUAGGUUUGAUGGUCUUCAGCUGUCCUCGUACGGCACACGGUGAUGGCAGCAGCCUCUGACUCAGGUCGGAGCCAGUGGCCCAAGAACCUCUCAGCUUAGGGGACGCGUCAGAGGGACUGGAUGUAAAGCAGAGAUAAACAGAAGAGGCCGGAG